RNAcentral lists this transfer RNA (85 nucleotides) under Polyporus tsugae. RNAcentral describes it as "tRNA-Arg". It matches the Rfam family "tRNA". From Rfam's summary of the family: Transfer RNA (tRNA) molecules are approximately 80 nucleotides in length. Lineage: Eukaryota; Fungi; Basidiomycota; Agaricomycetes; Polyporales; Polyporaceae. The record is from RNAcentral.
UUUCUCUUAGUUCAAUUGGUAGAACAAAAGUUUUCGAAACUUUAUUCCCCGAGGGAUAGUAGUGGUUCGAAUCCACUAGGGAAAU